RNAcentral lists this long non-coding RNA (451 nucleotides) under Olea europaea subsp. europaea. The record is from RNAcentral. Lineage: Eukaryota; Viridiplantae; Streptophyta; Magnoliopsida; Lamiales; Oleaceae.
GGAAACUGCAGAGAGUUGUACUGGUGAUCAUGAGCAAGGCCACUGGUGAAGUUUUAGAGGUGGAAUUUCAGUAUUGAGACUGAUAGAGAGGUCGUUGAUAAAAGGAUAAUUUAAUUUAAUCAAUGAUUCUGAUUCAGAAUAAUUUCUUUGGACAGGGAAAUGUUUGUGGUUUGGAUUUUGAUUUUGAUUUAUAGAGUUUCGAGGGAGAAGAGUGAUAAAGAAAUAAUGAGGGAAAUUCAAGCAAUUAUGAGACAGAUAGCUUCCAGCAUCACAUAUUUGCCUCGCCUUGAUGAAUUGUGUAAGUUUUUAAUUUGAAAUUGAGGUGACCUGCGAAGCACGGAUACUGCCAUUAGGGUGGCGUUUCAUGUCUAACACGAAUUCAACACUCGAUAUGAUUUGUUUUAGUUUUGUACAUAAUAAUCUAUUGUCGGAGAAGUGCAGUGAAUCAUCG